GAGCUAGCGGCAGGCAUCACACAUGCAAGUCGAGGGGUAGAGGAAGCUUGCUUCCUUGAGACCGGCGCACGGGUGCGUAACGCGUAUGCAAUCUACCUUGUACAGAGGGAUAGCCCAGAGAAAUUUGGAUUAAUACCUCAUAGUAUUAUUGAAUGGCAUCAUUUAAUGAUUAAAGUUCCAACGGUACAAGAUGAGCAUGCGUCCUAUUAGCUAGUUGGUGUGGUAACGGCAUACCAAGGCUACGAUAGGUAGGGGUCCUGAGAGGGAGAUCCCCCACACUGGUACUGAGACACGGACCAGACUCCUACGGGAGGCAGCAGUGAGGAAUAUUGGACAAUGGGCGCAAGCCUGAUCCAGCCAUGCCGCGUGCAGGAAGACGCAUCUAUGGUGUGUAAACUGCUUUUGUACGGGAAGAAACACUCCCUCGUGAGGGAGCUUGACGGUACCGUAAGAAUAAGGAUCGGCUAACUCCGUGCCAGCAGCCGCGGUAAUACGGAGGAUCCAAGCGUUAUCCGGAAUCAUUGGGUUUAAAGGGUCCGUAGGCGGUUUAAUAAGUCAGUGGUGAAAGCCCAUCGCUCAACGAUGGAACGGCCAUUGAUACUGUUAGACUUGAAUUACAAGGAAGUAACUAGAAUAUGUAGUGUAGCGGUGAAAUGCUUAGAUAUUACAUGGAAUACCAAUUGCGAAGGCAGGUUACUACUUGUGGAUUGACGCUGAUGGACGAAAGCGUGGGGAGCGAACAGGAUUAGAUACCCCUGGUAGUCCACGCCGUAAACGAUGGAUACUAGCUGUUGGGGGUAACUUCAGUGGCUAAGCGAAAGUGAUAAGUAUCCCACCUGGGGAGUACGUUCGCAAGAAUGAAACUCAAAUGAAUUGACGGAAGGGCGAAUUCCAGC
This 896-nucleotide ribosomal RNA is filed under the name uncultured Flavobacterium sp. RNAcentral describes it as "bacterial SSU rRNA". It matches the Rfam family "Bacterial small subunit ribosomal RNA", at positions 33 to 930 of the family's 1533-position model. Lineage: Bacteria; Pseudomonadati; Bacteroidota; Flavobacteriia; Flavobacteriales; Flavobacteriaceae. The record is from RNAcentral.